GUAGGUGGCAAGCGUUGUCCGGAAUUAUUGGGCGUAAAGCGCGCGCAGGCGGUUCUUUAAGUCUGAUGUGAAAGCCCACGGCUCAACCGUGGAGGGUCAUUGGAAACUGGAGAACUUGAGUACAGAAGAGGAAAGCGGAAUUCCACGUGUAGCGGUGAAAUGCGUUGAGAUGUGGAGGAACACCAGUGGCGAAGGCGGCUUUCUGGUCUGUAACUGACGCUGAGGCGCGAAAGCGUGGGGAGCAAACAGGAUUAGGUACCCUGGUAGUCCACGCCGUAAACGAUGAGUGCUAAGUGUUAGGGGGUUUCCGCCCCCUUAGUGCUGCAGCUAACGCAUUAAGCACUCCGCCUGGGGAUACGGCCGCAAGGCUG
RNAcentral lists this ribosomal RNA (371 nucleotides) under uncultured organism. RNAcentral describes it as "partial 16S ribosomal RNA". It matches the Rfam family "Bacterial small subunit ribosomal RNA", at positions 527 to 896 of the family's 1533-position model. The record is from RNAcentral.